Molecule: long non-coding RNA, 439 nt
Organism: Ficedula albicollis (Collared flycatcher)
Lineage: Eukaryota; Metazoa; Chordata; Aves; Passeriformes; Muscicapidae
Exons: 3
Source: RefSeq, a predicted model, not a curated record
CCAUCCCUACUGCCUGGUCUGAAAUGAUGAACUGAACUGCAGACAAAGGAUUGGAUUUAGUGUGAUUCAGUCUGGGUGUUGAGGGAGAUUUAGAGUCACCUGGAGAAGUUUGGAAUUGUUCUGUCCCACACCUUAAACCAGAAGCUCUUCCAAAGGCAGCAGUGUCAAGCUCACUCUUGUGACAAAUAUUGGAAGGCAGCUGGAUGUCACUGGGGAGCAAGGAAGGGCUGUUUUCUCUAGCAGGGAGGUUCUCAGCAUGGGGAGGAGAGGCUGAAAAGCAGAAGGGCUGAGGAGAGGAUGCCUGGAAAGACAAGGACAGGGCAAUCCUGCGGCUCCUGGCUCACACACGCUCCCAGGUAUAGAACAUCAGAUGACUCUUAGCAAAUGUGAAAUGCUUCUGGAAGCCAAGCAGUGUUCAUACCCUGUGGGCAACCCUGUU